GACAGAGGGUGCAAGCGUUACUCGGAAUUACUGGGCGUAAAGCGUGCGUAGGUGGUUCGUUAAGUCUGUCGUGAAAGCCCCGGGCUCAACCUGGGAAUGGCGAUGGAUACUGGCGGGCUAGAGUGCGGUAGAGGGUGGUGGAAUUCCCGGUGUAGCAGUGAAAUGCGUAGAGAUCGGGAGGAACAUCAGUGGCGAAGGCGGCCACCUGGACCAGCACUGACACUGAGGCACGAAAGCGUGGGGAGCAAACAGG
RNAcentral lists this ribosomal RNA (253 nucleotides) under uncultured bacterium. Its description in RNAcentral is "partial 16S ribosomal RNA". It matches the Rfam family "Bacterial small subunit ribosomal RNA", at positions 524 to 776 of the family's 1533-position model. The record is from RNAcentral.